RNAcentral lists this ribosomal RNA (388 nucleotides) under Helix lucorum. RNAcentral describes it as "partial large subunit ribosomal RNA". It matches the Rfam family "Archaeal large subunit ribosomal RNA", at positions 1994 to 2688 of the family's 2987-position model. The record is from RNAcentral. Lineage: Eukaryota; Metazoa; Mollusca; Gastropoda; Stylommatophora; Helicidae.
UGAUUAUUAAAUAGCCGCAGUACUCUGACUGUGCAAAGGUAGCAUAAUCAGUUGGCUUUUAAUUGGAGUCUGGUAUGAACGAACACAUGGGUGGCGACUGUCUAAAUAUAUUUUUCCUAACUUUUUAAUCAAGUGAAAAUACUUGUGCUAAUAAAAAAGACGAGAAGACCCUAGAAACUUGAAAAGUUUUUUGUUGGGGCGACAGAGUUACAUGUAACUAAUUUUAUUAAACAUGACAUUAAUUAGAAAGGAUAAGUUACUCUAGGGAUAACAGCAUAAUUUUAAUAGUUUGUGACCUCGAUGUUGGAUUAGGUACUAUACCCUUUAGGCAAGGGUAUAAGAUGCUCUGUUCGAGCAAAUACACCUACAUGAUCUGAGUUCAGACCGG